CGAAAAGUAGUAUAAUGUAUUAUUUCUUAUUUACAUUAAGAUGAUGGCUUUUAGCCCUUUUUAA
This 64-nucleotide transfer RNA is filed under the name Bathysciadiidae sp. MNHN-IM-2013-40843. RNAcentral describes it as "tRNA-Val". Lineage: Eukaryota; Metazoa; Mollusca; Gastropoda; Bathysciadiidae. The record is from RNAcentral.